UAGGGAAUAUUGGUAAUCUGGGAAACCGGGAACCAGCAACGCCGCGUGCGCGAUGAAGGCCUUCGGGUUGUAAAGCGCUUUUUGAGAGGAUGAGGAAGGACAGUACUCUUAGAAUAAGCCUCGGCUAACUACGUGCCAGCAGCCGCGGUAAAACGUAGGAGGCGAGCGUUAUCCGGAUUUACUGGGCGUAAAGCGUGUGUAGGCGGUUUGAUAAGUUGGAUGUGAAAGCUCCUGGCUUAACUGGGAGAGGUCGUUCAAAACUAUCAGACUUGAGAGUGGUAGAGGGAGGUGGAAUUCCGCAUGUAGUGGUGAAAUGCGUAGAUAUGCGGAGGAACACCAGUGGCGAAAGCGGCCUCCUGGCCCAUUUCUGACGCUCAGACACGAAAGCUAAGGUAGCAAACG
RNAcentral lists this ribosomal RNA (402 nucleotides) under uncultured prokaryote. RNAcentral describes it as "bacterial SSU rRNA". It matches the Rfam family "Bacterial small subunit ribosomal RNA", at positions 355 to 774 of the family's 1533-position model. The record is from RNAcentral.